GGGCCUAUAGCUCAAUUGGUUAGAGCAACUGACUCAUAAUCAGUAGGUCACUGGUUCGAUUCCAGUUGGGCCCACGA
Molecule: transfer RNA, 77 nt
Filed under: Hymenobacter daecheongensis DSM 21074
Lineage: Bacteria; Pseudomonadati; Bacteroidota; Cytophagia; Cytophagales; Hymenobacteraceae
Description: tRNA_Met_CAT
Rfam family: tRNA
About the family: Transfer RNA (tRNA) molecules are approximately 80 nucleotides in length. Their secondary structure includes four short double-helical elements and three loops (D, anti-codon, and T loops).
Source: RNAcentral